AGGGUAUACUUAAAGACUCCUGACAUUUAAUUUGAGGUGAUGCAGACGCCUUAAAUCGCCACAUUAUCUUGACAGCAGAUAAUCGAGAGUGUUAACAAAUUGGGGGAGAUAUCUGUCAGUUUGCCAAUGUACCUUAAGGCUAUAAAGAAAAGCAACAGAAAAAAAGCAUGUGGCUGUUUUUGUUACAGUACUUUCCCCCCCCCCCCUUCUCGGGUCAGCAGGUAUGCAGCUCAGUUUCAGAGCACCUUGAAAGUAUUGCAAGCAGUGGCUGGUGCCUCUAGUCUGCACACCGAGGAAGUGGCUCGGUAUUAAUUAUGCACUGGAGCAAAGUUUACCUCCAGCCUGAAGUAGCCCACAGCCAAACAAUGGUGAGCGAAAUGUGCAUAACGCACCAUGUGAAAUGAAAUACUAUCUCCCCACAUUCCGCUGUUCCGACGCUGCCAAAAACACUAGCUUUUCUCUGAGAGGGUAACAGAGACAUCCAGACACACAUUACAGGGUUUUCCCCUCCUCCUCUUUUAAUCCGUAAAUCCCCACUUUCUCAACAGCCAAGCUAGGUGGACACCGAAACGGCUCUGCUAAUUAAGUAAAGGAAGCUGUCAGCACUUAAAUGUGACCCGGUGUCUUUCCAACCUCCACCUAGGCAAAGACGCGUUAGCUCUGACAUGCUAGCCGACCUAAGAAGCGUCGGAUUCGCACACUAUAACGUCGCUCGGUUAAACACACCUAUGGUUUAUUUUUUAUUUUUUUUGCUUAAUUGGCCAUGAGAACGCCAACUUGACAGGGAGUUUUAUGGUCAGGCUGUCCAGUACGCUUCUGACAAUGAACGGCGUUAAAACAAACAAACAAACAAAAAACUGUCACACCCGUGCAUUUAAUGACCGUGCCGACUCGUGACGCGUUCAAAGUCCUCCAGGUGUAAAGCGGACAGGUUACUACGGUGCCUGGCUAACCCCCCGAAGGAGACCCGAGAGCUGGACACAUGCUGUCAAAUGUUGUCUAGCUGUCAAUGACAAGUGUAUGGUAAUACCUGGGACCUGUUGACUCCUCCUCCUGCCGCUGCUGCUCGCCUCGGACUGCUGCUGGAAGUUCAGUCGCGCCGCUGUAUUUCUAACGCGGGUUGUACUCUCUUUUUUCUUUUCUUUUCUUUUUUUUUGAAAGUUUUCCGCCGACUUCUCAAAAUCUCCAAAAAACGGUGGCCCUCACGAGCGCUGAGUGAGUUAACCCCCACCGGGCAAACAGCGGGUAAGAAGUCGGCGAGUGGCGUUUAGAGAGCAAGCAAGUUCGAAACGACGUUCGCAGAAGCAACCAUGGCAGUCACGUUCUCUGGCUGUGAAAUCCAACACCACCCCUGACCCCGCCCCCUUUCUCUUAUGGGGCCUGUCAUCGAAAAAGUGGAUGUCCUGUUUCUCUCCAGAUGUGCUCCGCGCGCUGCUGCAACCAAGCGAGGCAACAAGAAGGAGCACUCACUUUGUUUUGGUUGCAUUUUUAAUGCGUUUCUUGCAGCUCGUUUAUGCUCCAUUAAAAAUAAAUAAAAACACAGUUUUCUAUCAUUCUCUGUAUCUAAACAAUGAAACCAAGCACACAGUACAGACAUGAAUUUUUAUUAUAUAUAUUUUUUAUUUACUUUUUUUUUUUUUGACAAAACAGCUUCAACUUAAAAUGAUUUCGACACUUUAAAAAAUUCAGUGAUGUUAUUAACUCCAUAUCGCGGUGGGACGGGAAAGCUGUGCAGUCUUUCUGAUUUUUGUUCAAAUAUGUAUUAUCAGCAUAAAAUUUUAAACGAUCCCGCCGCCGUUGCGUGACUAUGUCUCGGUGUCAUGCUGAGAACACCAUUAAAGCCUCUAAAAUAUCUUCCAUCGCAGGUUGUGCUGUUCCCUUUUGUCACACCGCAUUUGGGCAGUCGGCUUCUUCUGUUUAAUCCUCCACUCAGAGGAAUGCUCCACCUG
Long non-coding RNA from Astatotilapia calliptera (eastern happy), 1949 nucleotides. NCBI's taxonomy places the organism in Eukaryota, Metazoa, Chordata, Actinopteri, Cichliformes, Cichlidae. The record is from Ensembl.